This 85-nucleotide transfer RNA is filed under the name Bacteroides sp. Its description in RNAcentral is "tRNA-Leu". It matches the Rfam family "tRNA". Rfam says of the family: Transfer RNA (tRNA) molecules are approximately 80 nucleotides in length. The record is from RNAcentral. Lineage: Bacteria; Pseudomonadati; Bacteroidota; Bacteroidia; Bacteroidales; Bacteroidaceae.
GCCCUGAUGGUGAAAUGGUAUACACACCACUUUGAGGGGGUGGCGCUUAAGUUAAAGCAUAUCGGUUCGAAUCCGAUUCAGGGUA